This 1241-nucleotide long non-coding RNA is filed under the name Ailuropoda melanoleuca (giant panda). RNAcentral's name for it is "lncRNA (ENSAMEG00000030965.1)". The record is from RNAcentral. Lineage: Eukaryota; Metazoa; Chordata; Mammalia; Carnivora; Ursidae.
GGUUACUCUAAUUAGAACCCUUAGGGAAAAUGCCUGGCUGGGGUCCACGGGGGUGGCGUGGGGGGAAGAGUCUGUGGUGCCCUACAGAGGUCAGUUCAGCCUCCUCAGGCCCCCAUGACUUACACCUCCCGUGUGGGGCUCACACUGGGAGUCAAAGAAGGCCAGGGGGUGGGGGAGGGUCGGUGAUGGUGCCGGUGGUGCAAGCAUGCACAAGAAACCUGGUUGGGGGGGAGAACAGAGCAAACCAAAAAGAGUGAAUGAGAGACAAAGGGCAGGAGUGGGCAAGAGAGAGGGACUGGGGUGGGAGGUGGGGGCAGCGGAGGACGAGAGAGCAAAAGAGAAAGAGCCAGAGGACCGGAAAGAGAAAGAGAUGGGGGAAGGGGGGAGAAGGGGAGAGCCAGGGAGGGGAAGCAGGUCUCAGACGGAGUGGGGAGCAGGUCCCCUUUCCCCUACCCCCUCUCCUGGUUCCUCCCAACACCCCCUCAGCCCGGCCCACUCUUCCGCCCCCUCCACCCCGUCUCCCGGACGUCCUGCUCUUUCCCAGCCUCCCUCCACGCUUCCUCUUCCAUCUCUCCUCCCUUCUAACUCCCGCCCCCCCAACCAGCCCUCCUCUCUUGCGCGGUAAUCUGUCCGCAGCCUGGUGCCCGGGUGGUUCUGUCCGUCUGUCCACCUGGAAGAUCCCCGGGGUGCAUUUGGCCGCCAAUUUGACUUUCGGUUUGGGGACUUUGUAUUGUCACAAUAAAAAUGUUUCCAGACCGAGAAGGAUGGGAGAUGCUCAGGCCUCCUCCAGAGCAAGCGGCCGCGGCAGCUCCUGCCAAGUUCAAGGCCGCCCCCCGCCCCGCGCGCACACGCGCCCCGGGCCGGGCGGGGGAAAGCGGUGCAAACGCUUCUGCGGUGGCUGCUCCUCGCGCGCGUGUGUCAACUUCCUGCUCCGCGGCCCGGGCGAGGAUGCUGGGGUUGCAUCCCCGCUUUCGGAGCUCUUCUGCGGCUUUGGGGAACCCGGCGCCGCGCGCCUGCCCUGGUCCCGCCCUGUGCCCCACUCCCGCGUCUCACACCCCCCUCCGCAGCUGGGGCCGGAGGGUCCCGGGGGAGAAAUAAGACGGAGGAAACCACGAAAUCAGGUCCAAGGGGAAAAAAGAGAGACAAAGGGAUGGAUUUCCCCCCUUCAGUUCUUGGAAACAACUUCCAGAGGCUCCAGGGAAGGGGAAUUUGAUAACCAUAUGAGAGAAUGGAGGAUCUGA